CCUACGGGAGGCAGCAGUAAGGAAUAUUGGUCAAUGGACGAAAGUCUGAACCAGCCAUGCCGCGUGAAGGAUGAAGGCCCUCUGGGUUGUAAACUUCUUUUAUAGGGGACGAAAAAAGGGAAUUCUUUCCCACUUGACGAUACCCUAGGAAUAAGCACCGGCUAACUCCGUGCCAGCAGCCGCGGUAAUACGGAGGGUGCAAGCGUUAUCCGGAUUUACUGGGUUUAAAGGGUGCGUAGGUGGGCAGUUAAGUCAGUGGUGAAAUCUCCGAGCUUAACUCGGAAACUGCCAUUGAUACUAUCUGUCUUGAAUAUCCUGGAGGUGAGCGGAAUAUGUCAUGUAGCGGUGAAAUGCUUAGAUAUGACAUAGAACACCAAUUGCGAAGGCAGCUCACUACGGGAUUAUUGACACUGAGGCACGAAAGCGUGGGGAUCAAACAGGAUUAGAUACCCUGGUAGUCCACGCCCUAAACUAUGGAUACUCGACAUCAGCGAUACACUGUUGGUGUCUGNGNGAAGANAUAUAUCCACCUGGAGUAGANCGCAGAUAGAACGACGAAGAAGUAGAGNGNGAGAGNGCGACGACGACGACGAGGGAGGAGG
Molecule: ribosomal RNA, 602 nt
Filed under: uncultured bacterium
Lineage: Bacteria
Description: bacterial SSU rRNA
Rfam family: Bacterial small subunit ribosomal RNA (bases 1-531)
Source: RNAcentral